AUGGACCGCCUCUUGCUGUCCCGCCCCCCGAUGCCCACCCCCGUCCACGGCGCUGCCACGGCCGCAGAUGGCGACCUCCUCGAGCUCGACGUCCUCUGGCCCGCCUCUUCAGCUCCGGGACUCCUCGCCGCGCUUCCCGAUGAUGAGGCUAAGAAGAAGCAGAAGCGCGCGGGCGGCCCUGCCGUCCGAUCCGCCGCGCGCGCCGUCCCGGAGAAGGCCGCGUUGACCCCGUCUUCGGCGGCGAGGUCGGCUCCGGUGCGCAUACCUUCGGAUGCUGCGGCGCGGAGAGGGAGGUGGUCCCACGUCGUCGUCGGCGGCGACGACGGGGACGCCAUGGUCCCGCCGCACGAGAUCGUCGCGCGGCGCGCGGCAGCGCACAGCUCCGUGCUGGAGGGAGCCGGGAGGACGCUCAAGGGCCGCGACCUCCGCCGCGUACGCAACACCGUCCUGCGCCGCACCGGCUUCCUCGACUGA
This 474-nucleotide ribosomal RNA is filed under the name Triticum aestivum (bread wheat). RNAcentral describes it as "partial small subunit ribosomal RNA". The record is from RNAcentral. Lineage: Eukaryota; Viridiplantae; Streptophyta; Magnoliopsida; Poales; Poaceae.